UACGGAGGGUGCGAGCGUUGUCCGGAAUUAUUGGGCGUAAAGAGCUCGUAGGCGGCUUGUUGCGUCGGCUGUGAAAACCCAUGGCUCAACCGUGGGCUUGCAGCCGAUACGGGCAGGCUAGAGUUCGGUAGGGGAGACUGGAAUUCCUGGUGUAGCGGUGAAAUGCGCAGAUAUCAGGAGGAACACCGGUGGCGAAGGCGGGUCUCUGGGCCGAUACUGACGCUGAGGAGCGAAAGCGUGGGGAGCGAACAGG
This 253-nucleotide ribosomal RNA is filed under the name uncultured bacterium. RNAcentral's name for it is "partial 16S ribosomal RNA". It matches the Rfam family "Bacterial small subunit ribosomal RNA", at positions 524 to 776 of the family's 1533-position model. The record is from RNAcentral.